RNAcentral lists this ribosomal RNA (274 nucleotides) under uncultured bacterium. RNAcentral's name for it is "partial 16S ribosomal RNA". It matches the Rfam family "Bacterial small subunit ribosomal RNA", at positions 523 to 796 of the family's 1533-position model. The record is from RNAcentral.
AUACAGAGGGUGCGAGCGUUAAUCGGAAUUACUGGGCGUAAAGCGCGCGUAGGCGGUCUAUUAAGUCAGAUGUGAAAUCCCAGGGCUCAACCUUGGAACUGCAUCUGAUACUGGUAGACUAGAGUUUUGGAGAGGGAAGUAGAAUUUCAGGUGUAGCGGUGAAAUGCAUAGAGAUCUGAAGGAAUACCAGUGGCGAAGGCGACUUCCUGGUCAAAAACUGACGCUGAGGUGCGAAAGCGUGGGUAGCAAACGGGAUUAGAAACCCUAGUAGUCC